UUUCGGAAUUCUCAGUUCCUGCUGGCCAACCUUAUUCAUUAGAUCAUGGGCUUGGCUCUUGGAGACAGUCAAUGUUUUCUGUAGAGAAUAUUACCCCGCAGUGGCCAGGAAGCAAAUGCCAAUAGAUCUCCAAAAUAUUUGAUCAUACCAAUGGAUUGCCUAGAAUAUCUUGUGGUCUUUCUGUUGCCUUUGAGAGAAUGUCAUGGAAUACCAGGUGGGGGUGGGGCAGGUGAGCUCAGGGUAGCAAGGAUUCUGACAUAGCAAAGGGAAAUUCUGUAUGGGACAGACUCAAAGGUCCCAGAUGCCCUCUCAAAUGAAGAUGGCAAUAUUCCAAAUAUUCAUUGAUCCAGAAGCAUCUCAUGGCAGGUAUAAGAUCUGGGAGAACUCAUCUUAUUCCAUUCCCAGGAAGCAAACAUCCCUUCUUGGGCAAUGUCUCCAGGCCACGCUUCUCAUCCACAGAGCAGGUGCCUGUUCUCCCCGGGUCAUCUGACAGGGGAGAUAGAAAAGCUGCAAGAGAAAGCUCACAGCACGGGGCUGAGCCCUGGAGGGGAAGUACGGAGGCCUGUAUUCUAAUUCACUGAUGAUCAAUUUGCAAGUUCUUUUUCUCUUAGUUCCCUUAGUUUCCUUCCAGGUAAUGCAGAAUUCCUUGAAGCUUCUCUAGGUUGUUUUACUUUGCAAUCUUUGGUUAGAAGGUCUUUCUCAUGUUAACAGGUGAGUUAAGGUAAGAGCCCCAGACUCCUGGGCUUCCCCCAGCCCACUCCAUGACCCCAAAAGAGAUUCCAUUGGGGGAUACAGUUUGAAUCACCUGAACUAGACAAUUAUUACAGCUUCUCUUCCAGGUUGAAUAUUUCAGGGUCCCUUGCCAAACAGGGGAAGAUCUUGUUAAACCAAAAUCCCAAAUAGAUUUCAAAUAUGCCGGAAGUUUACAUGACCCUAAAGACUGCUCUCCAUGAGAGACUCAGGGGCUGGGGUAGUACCUUCUAAAUUUCCAUGGGAAAAUGAACAUGCUCCAGCAAGAGCUUGGGAAAAGAAGAUAGUCCCUAAGUUUUAUUGUUUGAAAUUUGUCACUCAAGGAUGCGAACGUAUCGCUGACAAUUAUGUAGCAUCUCAGAGCUCAGAAAGCACUUUUGCAUCGAUUAUUUCAUUUCUUGUUCGUGCCAGUUGUGUGAGGUGGACAACAUUAUGUUCAUAUGAGAAAUGCAGCCCAGAGAGGCUCAAACCCAGCACUUUUAACUCCCAAUCUCCCUCUUUUCUCAGUACCAUGUGGUAAGUCUUUAUUAACCAGAGUGUCCAAUUAACCAGAACAUGCCUGUGUCUUAGGGAUCAUCCCAGACUGAUUUUCUUUGCAGAAAACCCCAGGGAGCCACAGCCUUUCCUGCACCUCCUUUUGUUAGCUGUAUGUUUUUUUAGGGGCCCAGUGAGGACUGCAUUUCAGAGCCUGUGUUGCAAAGCUCAUUGCUGUGGAGGAGACGGUUAUGGGCUGGGGCCUGGGUCUUCCGCCCCUUCCUGGCAGACCAGGAGCUUCAGUUGCUCUCUGUGAAGUUCUACUUUGCAGGAGCCUGACACAGACGACAGCCCCAGGUGAUCCCUAUUCUUCAAGACCAAGCCAGGGAAAAUCUUCCAGAUGUUCUUGCUACUCACCCCGACCUUGCGGUCUUACCCUUCUGGCUGAACAAGAGACAAACAGCUCCUCUCCACUUGGCUGUGUGCGGCUUAACGAAUGCGUAUGAAGACCGUAUAAAUAAUUCACAUCACUCAAGAGGUGGCGAGCUGAACAAGUCCCUUCUGGUUACAUUUAUUUCAAGAUAAGGUGAAACUAAUGCCCCCUAAAUAUUUCCACUGAAGACUUUUAGAACUUUGGAAUAAGGAAAGUGUAUCUCCAGCUGACAAUAAAAUUUACGAAGCAAAGAAUGCCUCCGUUAAUACUUUCCAAACGUCUUUGUUUUUGAAUGAGCAAGAUGCUGAGAACCUUCCAAUUCAGUAACCCUGCCUCUGACAGGCAGCAGAACAGUUAGCAAGGUUGACAGAUAGAUGCAGCCACACGAUGCAAUAAUCCUUGCUGCACUGAACUUUGUAUUUAAACACUUAUUUUAUGUUUAAUUAAUUUCUCCAAAGAGGAAAACUUCCAGGCUGCCUUUGAAGCCGGCUUUUUGUUUAAGAUAUUUUGUUUUAAGAAUAAGAGAAAAAAAGGAAGGAAGGAAACGGAGGGAAAAUGUUUAUGUUUUUCCUGUUGUUUUUUCAAAUAUGAUGUGACAUUGUGAAGAGGCCUCCUGAAAGUGCAAUUUUUUGUUUGUGAUGGAAGAGAGAUGCACCUAUGAGUCUUACAUCAUCAAAGAAACAGACGCGUAUCUAUAAUUUAUGCUUUGCUUUAAGCUUCUGCUGAUCUGAUGUGGCUUUUUUAAGACAACACAGGCAGCCCUGGCAUCACUUGUCAAUCAUCGGGGCAUGCUCAAAUCGUAGACCAUUAGCAGGAGAGACGGCAGAGUUUCUUUAAUGACGCUUUUAUAUGGGGCAUCCUGGCAGUGAAACAGAGAGGGUUUGAUUUGAUCAAUGCAUUAGCCUAAUCACAGCGUUCCUGCUCUUAAUUUCUUUUGUCGGCAAUUUCCAUACAUGGGUUGCGUUCAGGGUUCUGGCAAAGACCCGUUCAGAACUCCGUGUGACAUGUGCAGUCACCUUGCCCGGAUUUCUCUCGGUGGGAAGCGACGUCUGCAAGAGAGGGGACGGCGGCUGGGCUGGAUGGCUGCCUUUGAGUCCGUCCUGCGGUGAGGCUGGGGAAGGCCCAUUCCACGCGAGCCUUGGCUUCAGCCCUGAGGUGCCUGCCAGCCCCCGUGGCAGACCCCAGCCCUGCCAAUUUCAGCCCCCUUGGUGAUUCUGUUCCAGCGCUCGCCAAAAGCAGAAUCCGUGUAUAAUGAACAAGUUUCAUGUUCAACAUUUUAAGUGUCUAUUUAUGAGUCCCAGUAAUUAGCCCUUUGUCUGCAAUUCUGGCGAUGAUGAUUAGAAUUCCAUCUCACGUUAUGAAUGCUGCUCCCCAAACUUGUCCUUCUCGCCUGGAGAAUCGCAAGCAGCAGAGCACUGAAGGCUACUCUGCCUGGACACAACAGGUGGGAUGUGCCAAGGAAGGAAGGAACACUCCCAGCAGCAGCCCUCAGCCAAUGACUACUGGGAGUUGCAGAGAACCACAGCACUUCCUUCACACUCCACCGGGAACGUCCUAGCAUCUCCUAUGGCGCCAGGCAUCAUUGUGGUGGCCAUCUUCACAAUGCAUUUGCAGGUGGAAGAACUGUCUGUGCCACAGUCGCAUUCCUGCCAGCAUUUCCUAGGGAGCUGAAUAAGGAGAACACAUGGACACAGGGAGGGGAACAACACGCACUGGGGCCUGUCGGCGGGCAGGGGGAGGGAGAGCACAGGAUAAAUAGCUAAUGCAUGCAGGGCUUGAUACCUAGGUCAUGGGUUGAUAGGUACAGCAAACUACCAUGGCACACAUUUACCUGUGUAACAAACCUGCACAGUCAGAUCUUUGUUCAGGGUCAGCUUCUGGAGCAAUGCAAACUGAGACCCCUGAACUCUUGGAAUGUCAGUCAGGUACCUGGUGGGCAGGUUCCUGGACCUCUCGUUUUUUACUGACUAUGUAGGAACUCAGAUCAACUUGCCCUCACCUCUGCCCUGCAGUGGAUGUUCUGGCAAGGAGAUCAGAUAAGGAAACAGCCCUUUCCUACAGAGAGAAAGAACCCUCAAAAGAGAGGAUCUGGUAGCGAUUUCCUGGAGCAGGGUUGCAAAGAGAACUCCUAAUUUUAGUAAAGGAAUAAAAGAAGAUUCCUGCCAGGAAGGAUAAUGAUAGGAUUUUGAAGGGUCUACAGGAGCUGGAAAAUCAAAUGGGAUCAGAAAAAUCACACAGGUGGGAAUAUUCCAGGACAACAUGGAGCACCAUGAGUAGGUGGUUUUGGCUGGAGUGGAUGAAGGGCUUAUGAAGGGAGGAGACCUGGAAGAGAAAGUGGCAAAAGAACAUUAGGAAGAUGCAGGAGGUUGCUG
RNAcentral lists this long non-coding RNA (4029 nucleotides) under Pan troglodytes (chimpanzee). RNAcentral describes it as "long non-coding RNA NONPTRT008069". Lineage: Eukaryota; Metazoa; Chordata; Mammalia; Primates; Hominidae. The record is from RNAcentral.